Long non-coding RNA from Rhea pennata, 378 nucleotides. RefSeq lists it as uncharacterized. The transcript is spliced from 2 exons. The record is from RefSeq and is a predicted model, not a curated record. NCBI's taxonomy places the organism in Eukaryota, Metazoa, Chordata, Aves, Rheiformes, Rheidae.
GCACAUACAAGAACAAUACCACUACUACAAACCAGAGAUGCCUACCUGACAGAUUUAUGAAAAGAUUUCAUGUGCUUAUCUGCCUUUCUGCUGGUGCUGCAUGCUCUGAAAGCUGAACUGCAACAGCUGUUGUCUUGGGAAGAGAGAAAGAAGUUGGGCAUUGGGGAGCCUUUGAAAAGCUAAUGUGUAUUUGCCCUGGAAAACGCAGAAGAGGAAGCAAGUUCCAAAUGAAGCUCGGCUCACGAGGAGCGCCGCGCUAGGAGCGGCAUCAAGGCUCAGGCAUGGAACAGCCCUGUUGUCCCAUGCGCUAACAAUUUUAGUAUUUGUUACUGCUUCCAUUAGCUCAUUUUAAGACAACAAUAAAGCAAGUAAUGUGUG